This 456-nucleotide ribosomal RNA is filed under the name uncultured bacterium. RNAcentral's name for it is "bacterial SSU rRNA". It matches the Rfam family "Bacterial small subunit ribosomal RNA", at positions 340 to 786 of the family's 1533-position model. The record is from RNAcentral.
UACGGGAGGCAGCAGUGGGGAAUAUUGCACAAUGGGCGAAAGCCUGAUGCAGCUAUGCCGCGUGUAUGAAGAAGGCCUUAGGGUUGUAAAGUACUUUCAUCGGGGAGGAAAAAACAAAACUAAUAAUUUUAUUUCUUGACGUUACCCGAAAAAGAAGCACCGGCUAACUCCGUGCCAGCAGCCGCGGUAAUACGGAGGGUGCUAGCGUUAAUCAGAAUUACUGGGCGUAAAGAGCACGUAGGUGGUUUUUUUAAGUCAGAUGUGAAAUCCCUGGGCUUAACCUAGGAACUGCAUUUUGAAACUGAAAUACUAGAGUAUCGUAGAGGGAGGUAGAAUUCUAGGUGUAGCGGUGAAAUGCGUAGAUAUCUGGAGGAAUACCUGUGGCGAAAGCGGCCUCCUAAACGAAUACUGACACUGAGGUGCGAAAGCGUGGGGAGCAAAACAGAAUUAGAUACC